CGCCGGCCCCCCUCACGGCCGCCGGCCCCCCUCACGGCCGCCGGCCCCCCUCACGGCCGCGCUGCCCCGGCCCCGCCGGAUGAAUAAAUAAAUGACGGCGCGGAGAGGGAGAGGCCGGCGGGAGGAAAGCGAGAGGGAGCCGGAGAGGGGCCGCCGGCUGAGCGCCGCUCGGGGGGCGCGGCGUGCAGUCGGACACCGGCGGCGGAGGAGGAGGAGAGGCGGAGGGGGGGCCACAGAGUAGCCGCCCGCCCGCCGGCCCGCGGGCGUCCCGCCAGAUGCUGCCGCCCGCCAUGAUGCUCCGCGUGAUUUGAGCCAUUCUGCGGGGACAAAGCGAGAGCUCCUUGGUUUGGACAGUUCCUGCUGUGGCUCCUCCACCAGCCUUUCCCCCAGCUGCCCACACCAGAAACACAGCCAGGCCGUAACCCACGGCAGUUCCUAGCAGCUAACAGGGCCACCAAAGCUCUUAGUAACUGCUGUAACAUAAAGCAAAUAUUCUUUGAGCUCCUUUAAUCCAUCCACAAGACCGAUCCAGUGCCGAUCGGCCUCAGUAUUAGCAAGGGGCAAAACCGGUAACUAUUGUCGUGUAGAAGGUGUUGCUUGUGGCCAGUCUCCAAGGCAGUCUCGUCAAAUGUUAUUCUCCUCCAGUAGUAGCCCUGGGUGUUCAGCUUUUCUGCGUAUGAAACGUAUGAUAAAGAGUGACCUGACUUCUACUGUUUGAAAAAAUAAUGUAGAAAAUACCACCUUAAUUGGUCAUUUUCAUCAUGGAAGAGGCAUUUUUUGGAACAACUGCCUGUUAGAGCCUUCCUACAGACUGCGAUGUUGCUUCAUAAGUACACCUGGCCUGGCUGGGUUUAGGAUCACUCGUAGUCUGUGUCUACCAUGCUUAUUAUUUGACCAUAAGCAGAUAGUUUUAUUCUAAAAAGCAGCCUUGAAGGCAAAUUCUCUUGAGUCCAGUAAUUUGAGUAGAACUGAGAUCAGCUAGUUACAUGCUUUAAAGGUCCAGUAGAUGUAUCGCUGUGGUUUAGGAGGAAACUUUUACUCAGUGAUGUUUGGGGUGGGUAUUUUCUUCAUAAAUCUUUUGCACAUCUCUUUCAGGGAAAAUGUGUUCAUACCCAUUUAUUUCACGUCUGCUGAGUCCAAAGGUGACCCACAAGACUUGGGCAGCAUUGUGAAUUGAUGUAAAGACUUAGAAGACUUGAAAAUCAGGUGGCCAUGCUUGGCUUUAAAAAUAUUUCACUGACACAGUCUGAAUGAAAUAACUCUCUGGGGUUCAAAACAGCAGGCAUUGACAGAUACAAGGGAUUAAAAGGCUUUUUAAUGUGGCUUAGUAGUGUACAGAAGAUUGGCUUACUUGUAUGAGCUCUUCUUUCGUCACAUUGAUCUUUAAUUUGCAUUGUGCUUAGUACAACAGAAACUGGAGGCUGAAGUCUUCUCUCCUGAAUCAUCUGACAGGACUUGGCCCUUUUAUUGCUUAGUGAAAUCUUUUUUUUUUUGUGAAGGAGGAAUUGAUUUUUGCCAGUGUUGAGUAAUAGCUGAAGAAUACCAAGUUGUAAUAAUUUUGUGAACACUGUAUGUGGCCAGGUUGGUGAGAGGAAGUUACUAUACAAUGGGUUAUACUACUUUAUAUUACUUUCCUGUAUAGAUGUAUCGAUCUAGCUUAAUAGGGAGCUAGCUGAUGAAGGAAUAAAAGGCAAUUCAGUGGUUCCCCUGUGUCAGCUAUAUGUGACUAAACCCAUGAGGUGGUAAUUACAAGAAUGAUAGCUCCAAUUCCAAGGGAUGCCGCUGGUUUGUCAGGCUGAGAACUAAAAAUGAGAGGAGGAUGAAGUUGGUAGAGACGGAUGGAAGAAAUAAUUUAACACAGAGGCAGACUUUGCGGAAGAGGCUGGAAGAAGCUGGGCCUUCCUCUGCAGCAAUGGAAUGAGGGUGCUGCCCUUUCCUUGAUGAAGUCAAGUUCUUUGUUCUCUCUGAGGCUUCAUUCCAAGGAAUGUGAAGAUACAAGCUUUAAGACCCUACUGUACUGUAUUUGCAAAGAAAAGUAAAAUGUGAUGAAUGAAAAUCCACUCUAAAAUACAAAACUGCACACAAAACCCCAUCACCAGCGAAGACUUGAGAGAACUUUUGGCAGCUAAAAACAUAUACAUAAUCGUCUCCUAAGAAAUGAUGGUAUGGGAAAUACAUUUUGCACAAAUAUACUUCAUAAAAUGCAGGUUAUAUAUAUAUAUAUUAAAAAAAAAAUAGAAUCCCAAACUUCAUUAACAGAAAUUUAGAACAUCCUGAAUCCUCUCAUAUUGCAGCUUGACCCAACCCUACUCAAUAAUGAAAACAGUUAACAUCAACCGGGGGGAGGUAGAUUUGCCUUUCUGAUAAGGUGUAACUUUAUAAUUGAAAGCACUACUAAUAAAAUUUGCAUGUUGCAGAAGUAAAAAUGUCAGCCACAGCUUGAGACAUUCCCUGACAUCGCUAGAUGGGACUUGAAGCUGCAAGAUAAAGCCUUAAACACCUUGCUUUUGCAAUCUACAAUGAAAGUAGCCCUUUAUUAUCGGGUAUGUUUUGUAUUGUAAUCAUAAUAGUGUUAGCUGUUAGGACUAUAAAAACUGUUAGGAAUAUGAAAAUGGUUAAGCCAUAAAAAGCAUAUUUGUGUGAUUCUAUAGCUAUUCCGAACAAAACACAGUGUGCUUCAAUAAAAAGAAAAUGCAAUUUAAUUUGCCCCUGUCAA
Tyto alba (common barn owl) is the source of this 2716-nucleotide long non-coding RNA. RefSeq lists it as uncharacterized. The transcript has 3 exons. The record is from RefSeq and is a predicted model, not a curated record. Lineage: Eukaryota; Metazoa; Chordata; Aves; Strigiformes; Tytonidae.